RNAcentral lists this ribosomal RNA (443 nucleotides) under uncultured bacterium. RNAcentral describes it as "partial 16S ribosomal RNA". It matches the Rfam family "Bacterial small subunit ribosomal RNA", at positions 338 to 795 of the family's 1533-position model. The record is from RNAcentral.
CCUACGGGGGGCAGCAGUGGGGAAUAUUGGGCAAUGGGCGCAAGCCUGACCCAGCAACGCCGCGUGAAGGAAGAAGGCUUUCGGGUUGUAAACUUCUUUUCUCAGGGACGAAGCAAGUGACGGUACCUGAGGAAUAAGCCACGGCUAACUACGUGCCAGCAGCCGCGGUAAUACGUAGGUGGCAAGCGUUAUCCGGAUUUACUGGGGGUAAAGGGCGUGUAGGCGGGAAAGCAAGUCAGAUGUGAAAACCAUGGGCUCAACCUGUGGCCUGCAUUUGAAACUGUUUUUCUUGAGUACUGGGGAGGCAGACGGAAUUCCUAGUGUAGCGGUGAAGUGCGUAGAUAUUAGGAGGAACACCAGUGGCGAAGGCGGUCUGCUGGACAGCAACUGACGCUGAGGCGCGAAAGCGUGGGGAGCAAACAGGAUUAGAUACCCUAGUAGUC